Non-coding RNA from Cinara cedri, 362 nucleotides. The record is from the annotation of a GenBank genome assembly. Lineage: Eukaryota; Metazoa; Arthropoda; Insecta; Hemiptera; Aphididae.
CGAGAAUAACGAAUUUCAACACCAGAAUGUAUUUCCAACCAAAACGUCGUCUAUUUAUGGAAUUUUUAACACGGUCUGCUAUUUAAAAAUCAAUAGUGGGUACCGGGCUCGUCCCUAAAAAUAACCGUGAUCUAGUAAUGUAACAUUUUAGAGCUAUUCGUUUUAAAAGUUGUUUCGGAAAAAAAAUAAAUACGUAUUUUCCGGAAUAAUGAGUAUCCUCCUAUUGGCUGUAUUACACCGUAAAUAGAUGUACAUUGAGAAAAAAAAAAGAAAAGGUUUUUCCAACGUCUUCGGAACCUCGUGGCUCAUCUGUUAUGAAAACGCAGGUGGCGGGUGUACAUUUUUAAUUUUUCGUAACGCAC